Molecule: ribosomal RNA, 867 nt
Filed under: Amanita citrinoannulata
Lineage: Eukaryota; Fungi; Basidiomycota; Agaricomycetes; Agaricales; Amanitaceae
Description: eukaryotic LSU rRNA
Rfam family: Eukaryotic large subunit ribosomal RNA
Source: RNAcentral
CCUUAGUAACUGCGAGUGAAGAGGGAAAAGCUCAAAUUUAAAAUCUGGCAGUGUUUCACUGUCCGAGUUGUAACCUAGAGAAGUGUAACCUGCGCUGGACCGUGUAUAAGUCUCCUGGAAUGGAGCAUCACAGAGGGUGAGAAUCCCGUCUUUGACAUGGACUACCAGUGCAUUGUGGUUGCGCUCUCAACGAGUCGAGUUGUUUGGGAAUGCAGCUCUAAAUGGGUGGUAAAUUCCAUCUAAAGCUAAAUAUUGGCGAGAGACCGAUAGCGAACAAGUACCGUGAGGGAAAGAUGAAAAGAACUUUGGAAAGAGAGUUAAACAGUAUGUGAAAUUGUUGAAAGGGAAACGUUUGAAGUCAGUCGCGUUGGUUGGGGAUCAGCCUGACAUUGUUGGGUGUACUUCCUGGUCGACGGGCCAACAUCAGUUUUGACUGCCAGAAAAAGAUCAAAGGAAUGUGGCACCUUUGGGUGUGUUAUAGCCCUUGGUCGUAUAUGGUGGUUGGGACUGAGGAAAGCAGCGUGCCAAAAGGCCGGGUUUCGACCACGUUCACGCUGAGGAUGUUGGCAUAAUGGCUUUAAGCGACCCGUCUUGAAACACGGACCAAGGAGUCUAACAUGCAUGCGAGUGUUUGGGUGGAAAACCCUUACGCGUAAUGAAAGUGAAAGUUGAGAUCCCUGUCGCGGGGAGCAUCGACGCCCGGACCAGAACUUUUGGGACGGAUCCGCGGUAGAGCACGUAUGUUGGGACCCGAAAGAUGGUGAACUAUGCCUGAAUAGGGUGAAGCCAGAGGAAACUCUGGUGGAGGCUCGUAGCGAUUCUGACGUGCAAAUCGAUCGUCAAAUUUGGGUAUAGGGGCGAAAGACU